ACGCUGGCGGCAGGCCUAACACAUGCAAGUCGAGCGGUAGAGAGAAGCUUGCUUCUCUUGAGAGCGGCGGACGGGUGAGUAAUGCCUAGGAAUCUGCCUGGUAGUGGGGGAUAACGUUCGGAAACGGACGCUAAUACCGCAUACGUCCUACGGGAGAAAGCAGGGGACCUUCGGGCCUUGCGCUAUCAGAUGAGCCUAGGUCGGAUUAGCUAGUUGGUGGGGUAAUGGCUCACCAAGGCGACGAUCCGUAACUGGUCUGAGAGGAUGGUCAGUCACACUGGAACUGAGACACGGUCCAGACUCCUACGGGAGGCAGCAGUGGGGAAUAUUGGACAAUGGGCGAAAGCCUGAUCCAGCCAUGCCGCGUGUGUGAAGAAGGUCUUCGGAUUGUAAAGCACUUUAAGUUGGGAGGAAGGGUUGUAGAUUAAUACUCUGCAAUUUUGACGUUACCGACAGAAUAAGCACCGGCUAACUCUGUGCCAGCAGCCGCGGUAAUACAGAGGGUGCAAGCGUUAAUCGGAAUUACUGGGCGUAAAGCGCGCGUAGGUGGUUAGUUAAGUUGGAUGUGAAAUCCCCGGGCUCAACCUGGGAACUGCAUUCAAAACUGACUGACUAGAGUAUGGUAGAGGGUGGUGGAAUUUCCUGUGUAGCGGUGAAAUGCGUAGAUAUAGGAAGGAACACCAGGGCGAAGGCGACCACCUGGACUGAUACUGACACUGAGGUGCGAAAGCGUGGGGAGCAAAC
Molecule: ribosomal RNA, 744 nt
Filed under: uncultured bacterium
Lineage: Bacteria
Description: bacterial SSU rRNA
Rfam family: Bacterial small subunit ribosomal RNA
Source: RNAcentral